Molecule: non-coding RNA, 906 nt
Organism: Paramuricea clavata
Lineage: Eukaryota; Metazoa; Cnidaria; Anthozoa; Malacalcyonacea; Plexauridae
Source: the annotation of a GenBank genome assembly
CAGACAUCGACGAAAAUAUUGCUAACCAAAAUCAUGCUACCCGUGCACGUACACCGAAACCGGGGUAUCUUAACCUCUCUAAAAGUCAAUUCCCUCGAACAUUUCUUACAAAUCCGUCAAAAGUAGAAUUUAUACCAGUAUGCAAAAUUCCUAUACUGUGGUCACAGAAACCUUGAUAGUGUUUGAACCAUACUUUAGUUAGUUUAAUACUUACCUUGACUGUUAAAACAAUCAUCCGGGUAUCUCCGUCACCGUCCAUGAUAUACCAGAAAGCUUCAGAUGGAGAAGAAUUCAACUACCUAAGAAUGCAAGCAAAAUUUCCACGUUUCCAGCGAAAGCCUUCAUCCAGAAGUUAGUAAAUAACUUCGCUCGAAGCAUCGAAGUUUUGCUUGCAUUUUUUAGUUAGUUGAAUCCCUCCAAAGACUCAAGCUUCUGUUGUUAUUGGCACAUAUGCACCGUCCAAGUUUACAUCCAUGAUAUACUAAUAUGUAUCAAACCAAACUGAACACAUGCAAAAUUAUACUUUGUUUACUCUUCAGUGCUAAAGGUCCAUGACUACGAUCUUAGGGGGAGAGACAUGCAUGUAAUAUAUUUGUUUGCGUGGAAUAACUAGCAUAUUUCUACACAAGGACCGUUUGUUCGAUCCCUUCGUGUUUAUGUUUGUUGAUUCUACUCAGUAACCAAGGUUUGAUGUCGAUAUUUCGUACGGUAAUUAAAAAUUCCAAGGGACUUGCUGCUUAUAGUCUGAUGUCAGCUCAAGAGGCCUCUUUAGCCCCUGCUACAUGCGUCGGCAGAAUGACUCCAUGAUCUAAACAUUGGUGUUGCUAACUUUUGACAACUGUAUGCUUAUUGCUUUUUUCACUUGCGCGACGAUGCGUUGCAUUUAAUAAAGAGACUCUUAUUGAC